CACCUGACAUCUCUUUAAGUGAAAGUCAGCUUGGAAUUUUUUUUAAUGGCCAAGCAUAAAUCUUUUAAAUUAUAAAUCAAUAAAUAGUUAAUUCAAUAAUAGGAAUCUUUUAAAUAUUUAAUGAGUCAUAUGCAGAAUGGCUCUAUAACUGGAUGUUGAUGGAACUGUGUCAAAGGAAUUUGAAUCAAACUUUUCUAAACUCCCCAUAUUAAAAUAGUUAUUGAUUCAAACAUAACCUAUGAGGACUGUGGCAAAAGCAAGGGGGGGCUGGAGGGGCUUGGCAUACAUUUUCUCAUCCAAGAAAACGUGAAACCAGCAGCUCAUUUUUAAUGAUGGAUUCUGGAGCUGUUCAGGUUGUGUUAAUGCUCCCGCCACAAAAAUGAGUGAGACCCUACACAGACAAGAUUCUGUGUGUGCAUAUUCAUUAGAAUUCUGGUUUAAUGGCAGCUGUGCUCUUAAAUAAAAGCUGUGGCAGUUGCCUCUUGCUAAAGGGCUCUGUAACCAGCAGGGUUACCCAGGCAGGGAUGUCCUGAACUAUCUCCAUUGGAAACUGCCCAGAAGUUUGGAUUUAUUUACCAGAGUUUUCAGGUGAAGGACAGUGGGAGUUGUAUCUAUGGACGCUGGAGCUGAAUUUGCUCCUUUCUGAUUUUCUCUGAGCAGAUCUGUAGUUUGUGUUCCCUUAUGAACUACAUCCUGCUGUAACUCAACACCCCCCCUAAUCACCCCAAAUUGGAGGCAUUUUGUGCUGAAUCCUCAGCCCAUGGUCAGUGCUCUGUUAUUCCAUGGCAGAGGUGGCAUCUUCACACCUGGUACAGUCUGACCUUCACUUCCCAAAUUGCCAUCUGGUUCAUCUCUUCCCGGGUGAAAUGGUGGCAGGAUGGUGCUGAGAACAGGCCGUGGGAGCUGCUCCUGUGGGGAAAUCCAGACAGGUGAGGAAGGCACAGAGGGAGGAAGGAAGGAAGGAAGGAAGGGAUUGCCUGCAGAUUUGCUGAGAUUGGUUUUGCAGUGCUGCUGAAGGACAGGUAAGUUUGCUCUGGGGAUAUUUAAUGGGCAUUCAGUGCUGUGUAUUCCAGACACAGGAAUGGUAUUUGAGGGGGAAAAAAAAGGCUUUAAUCAUAGGAUUGUUAAGGUUGGAAAAGACCUGGAAGAUCAUCAAGUCCAACCAUCAGGUUUGGACCUUAGUUCAAGGCUUGUUCACCAUUUCAGGGGCUUCCUGCCUUGAAACCACUCAGCAAAAAUAAUUGGGGUGUCUACACUCCUUCACCAAAGGCAGCAGUGAAGGCAUUUGAUGUUGUCUCCUGAACUAAUGAAAUGUGGUGUCAGGAACUCCUCAUGGUGACACCUUGUUGUACCCAUUACACAGAUGGUUUAAACUGGUUUGUGCUCUGAGGAGGCAAAGCCUGACUGCCCAGAAUUGGUCUCACUGCCCUUGAGGGGCAGCCAGGACCAGCCAAAACCCGGGUCCAGGAUUACCUGAAGCAGGACCUGCUGUUUGUUCUUCCUGUGCAUCUGUAAUCAGCUGUAGUUGGUUCAAUAUUUGCAGCAGAUUAGAGUUUCAUUUGUAUUCUGCACACCUCUGCUCUCUCCUCUGUGUGUGUGUGUGUGUAUAUAUAUAUAUAUAUAUAUCUCCAGAAAAGCUGCCUGCAUAUCCUUGUUGUUUUUUUUUCCCCCAGGAUGACAGAUACUGUAACAAUGGCAGUAGAUUAAUAUCUCCUUAAUCAGCCAAAUGAACAUGACAUACAAGGGUGACAGCUCAAUUUGCUGCUAACAGAUUGUGCCUAUCACAGCCCUUCCAUUCCAACUGAUGGUUAUUUCUGGAAGAGAUCAUAGGCUUCUGGGAGGACUCCACGAGCUCUGAGGCUCCCAUUAAAUACAUCAAGUAGCACAUAGGUGUUACUCACCCGCUGUCAGGACAUUCCUGCCUGGGGAAUGAAAUGAGCCUUGACAGAGCAGAGGAGGGACAGGGAGCUGGGGAGGUGGCUCGGGGUGGUGUUGGCUGCAGGCUGCUGCAGGGCCCUCUGUUCUUGGCAUUUUUCUGUUUGCUCAUGGCCUGGUCCCUGCUGAAAUGUGGCCCAGUGGGGCUGUGUCCUGGGGAGGAAGCCCAGGAGGGGCAGCAGUCUGAGGAGAAGGGACAGGUUAAAUCUGAGCCCCACAACUGGCUGUGCUCCGAGUGUGUUUGCAGGUGGGAUUGCAGGAGGAUCUGGUUUCUGACUCUGAAAUCCAACCCACGGGGUUGAAUCCAAAUCUUUCUUUUCCUGCUUCCUGUGGUGUUUCAAAGGAAGUGACCCCAGGGACUGUGCAAGCCCCAUGCACGGACAGGGGUCCCUCCAGACCUCCCAGCAGACUCACUCCAGCACGUCCUGCUCCUCUCAGGGAGUGGGUUUGCUCAGCUCCCAGCAGUUUGCUUCACUGCAGGCAACAGACAUGUUUAUUUUUGAAAGAUAAAAUGCAAGUGGUUCGAGUGGAAAAGAUUUCCAAGGCAAAUUUGUCAAUAUAUUACUGAAACAAUGGUAUUAAGAAACAUCUAUAUGAUUGUAAUUAUGAAGCUCAGCCCUUCCCAAGGAGGGCUCUGUCAUUCCCUGCACUUGCCACAAUUUCUGUCAUACAAAUGUGUUCAUUAUUUUUAUCAUUUUUUUCCUUCUUAUUACAGGUUUUGCCAUAAGAAUAACUCAUCAAGGUUUUAUGACUAAUAAAUUCUCUAAAUUACAGUCCAAGGAUGCAUUACUUUAAUUUUUUCCUCCAUAUUCUGCUUUUAAUUGCCAUGUUAUUUCCCACUUGAGUUUUUUAAUGACUCGUUAGGCUUAAGGGGAAAGAACAGAAUUGAGUCCCACCAAGAUCUUGCAUCAAGUUUUGGACACCUCAGAAAGGAAGUCUUACAUUAGGGGAGGAAAAAAACAUGACUUGUGUGUCUCGAGAGGAGAUUUCAAAUUUGAAGUGUUGAGGAUAUUCAAACAAAGCAAAAAUCCUUAGGAAAGGCCCAGAGCAAGUAUUGUUCAUUAAUUAUUUGAGCAAUUAUUUCUAAUGAGGAAUGCAGUCAAGAUGUCCGUGGUUUUUGCAAGAUAUAGAUACCUGCAUGACCUUUAACGUGUAAAUAGAUCUCCUGGGAACAUUGCAGAGUUCUGAAGACUAAAUUUAGAUGUGUCCUUAAAAACUUCAUGAAAUCAGGACUGGAGGGAAUAAAAGGUGACAUUUUUGGUUACAGAUUGUUUCUGUGGGCUUUGUGCUUUGCUGUGUGGAGCUGACUGGGGGCAGACAGGCACCUGCUGGUCUCCCUUCUGGAAUAACAGGGGACACUGAACCCACUGCCCUUUCCAGCAGUGCCAGGAAUGGGCCCCAAGAGCCCUGCCAUGGUACCUGUGGCAGCAAACUGUGUCCAUAAAAAUGCCUUUUCAGGUGCAGCUGCAGGAGGGGUUUCCCAGCAGCGGGGAGUGACCACCAACCCAGGGUCCUGCUCAUGCCAGGGAGUGCCAGCUCAUCCUGGGAUCCCAGGGGACGUGGCUGAGUGGUGCUGGAGGAGCAGCCUGUUUCGGGUGGAAGGCAAUGAAUGUCCAAAACUGAGGAGAAACAGGAACAUAGUGCAGAAUGUGUUUCAGAACAUAUCAUAGAUAUUUAAGAAAGUGGGAAAUCCGCUUAAUAUUAAUAGAUGUUAUUUGUUUUGUGAUUGCAGCAGGGACUUGGCUGUGCUGGGCCCUCUGUAAGGACACCGAGUUUGUCCCUUCUUGGGACAUGUCACGGGAUGGAAGAGCUGGAAGAGCUCAGCUGCUGCAUUUCCAGGUCCUGUCGCUGCCGGGGGCUUAAACAUUUUAGGAAGACCUGAAGAGCGAGAUAAACCCCUUGACUACACGCUGGAAAAUCAGGAGUUUGCUCUGUGAGUACCCUCCGAGCCGCUCUAGAGGGAGGCAGAGAGCCGCUGCUCCGGGAACAUUCCCUGCUUUCCGUGCGGCACAAUCAGCAGCAACAGAAAAGUGCUCUUUGUCAGGCGUGUUUCAGGUGGCAGCGCAGGUCCCGCCAGCGGCAAAGUCCUUAAAUAUUCCCCUCCAUCACUGGCUCAGCAGGAUUUGGCUCUGGCAGGAGCCGUUCAGCACUUCCCCUGCAAUUGCAGCCCCACGACUGGAGUGCAGAACCAGAGGGUGCUGCGGGAAAGCGGCUCGGAAUUGGGCUCUGGCUAAUCAGGACUGGAAGUCAGAGCAAAGUAGUGCCAGUCCUCCCAUCUGGGCUCCCAGGGUAACUAUUCCUCACGUGUGAGUAUUAUUGAACUGCACCCCUCGGUAUUUCUCCUCCCUCUGCUGACCAGGGGCAGUUUGCUGUGAAAGUCUUCCCACACGGAUUUGGUCAUUCCAGGAGAUGCUUCCUUGGGCUUCACUCACAAAAUCACAAAUUUGGGAAAUUUCACCCCGUGCCCAGUGUGAGAUAAAAUCCAUCCUCACUGCAGCUGAUCAGCUUCAGCCCAGGUUUUUCAGAAAAUCUUCUUCUAAAACAUUUUUGCUUGUGGGUUUGGGUUUUUUUUUUCCAAACCCUGAACUGAGGCAACAAUAUAGUUGCUAAAUAGAUUUUAUUUAGUAUCCAAAUUUUUGACAUAUCUGUGUUCCUGCUGAGGCCUGUGUUUUACUGCAAAUUAGACUCGUCCAGGGCACUGCCCACUGUGAUGUGGCCAUUCCCUACAUCCUGUGCCUUGGGAACUGGUGGAACUGGCCUGGCUCUCCUGCUCCUCAGGCUGAUUUGAGCCUCACAAAGUCCUGUGUGUGAAGACCUGAAAUGCAGUUCACCACAGCACACACAGUGUAGAAAUCUGCAACUUGUUAGCCAGGAAAAUUCCAUCCCAGGGAGCUGUGGGUCACACAAAAGGGUUUGCAGAAGCACUGCCCCAAAAUGAUCCCACUGCAGUCCCAGUUCAAGGCCCAAAACAUCUGCAUGUGGGUUUGCAGGCCAUGGUUUCUCUCUGGUAACUCAAGUCCUAAUGUGCAUUAACUGUUUAAAACCAAUUUCGUUGCAGUUAAAAUUGAAUAUGACUGUUAGUCUAGAAAAUAUGGCCUAUUUCCUUUUACUAGUUAGCUUUUAAAGGUGUUUUACAAUUCAAAUGAGCCAUGCAAUUAAAGGUGACAUUGCCAAAACUGGACAGACUAAAAUUAGACAUUCCUGCUGUGUGUUAGAGCUUGGCCCACAUUUAGAUCAUGCUGUCUUUGGGCUGUACCUGUCUGCUCCAAUCUUAUGAGUCAACAGGACACUGAAAUGUUCCAGAAUCCUGUUGUGUUUUUCUGUUCUUUCUGUCUUCCAGGAUUACCUGACCCUUCAUUCCCUCUGCAGCGUUCAGUGCUCCCAGCACACUCACACACACUUGUGCACACACAGAGCAGGAGUUCAGCAGGUUUUUUGCCCUGAGAACUGGGAGGCACUCGGUGGUUGCUGCACUCAUUGGCUUGAACACCACCAGCCCUUCAUCAGCCCUUAAAUCCCUGAGCUCCCCAUCCCAGAGCAGCAGCAGUGGGAGGGUCUGUCUGUGCCUCUCUGAUAAACCAGGGGCUGGGGGGAGCCCGGGGGGCACUCAGGGACUCCUGCUUUGAUCUGGAGUAGCCCGGGUGUAACACUUGAGUUACAAGGCUGUUGAGAGAAGGGUCCCCCUCCACCCAGGGCUGGGAGCUGGAGGAGCACACGGGAGGUCACUGACAUCCCGCCUUCUAAACACCCCUGUGCACCAAUUGAUGUGUAAUUAUGCUGUCCCUGGGUAAUCAGUGCCACGCUGCCCUUAACAUUUAACGUGGGCAGGAUUCUGCCUCACCUGUUAGUGAGGAGACUCCUGAGCCCCCCAGUCAAUACCUUGAGGGAAAUUAGAAAGUCAGAAGUGAGGAGAAUGUCCCAGAAAAUGCCUGUUGUGCUUUGAACACAGGAUGUGGCCAUAAGGAAAAUCCUCCCUCGUUUCAAGCUCGGCUCCGUGGAUUUAAUACUGGCAUUCCUUGGAAUCAGUGAAGUUGGUCAUGUCCUCUCCCAUCCCACUGUAAGGUUGGGGACCUUGGGUGACUUGUCUCAUAUCAGUGCAUCUGAAUUGCCUGGAAUGAUGGUGUUCCCUGUUAUCAGGAAAUACCUUCUUGCUGGGAGAGGGGGCAAGGCUCCCUGUGUGUGCAGGGAUGUGUGCAUGUCUCAGAGUCAGGAACAGAAAGGAUAUGCAGAUUCUGGGUGCAAAACUCCCAGAUUAAAAUAACAGAAAGUGUAUUUUAAGUUCCCUGGUGCAGCUCCCUGGCAAGACAUGAUUAUAUCCCACAAGACACAAUAAUGUGUUUGUGCAGCACGUUUCAGGUGCUUUACAAUGUGCUGUUAAACUUCUGUGUUAUAAAAUAUCAUAUAAAUAUGCUAACCCCUCCUGCACUGCCCUUCCCUGUGUGCUGUUGCAGCCUGUCCCUGGGAACAAGCUCCCAACCACCUGAUCCAGGAGCAAGGACCAUUCUCUGGAAAACGAGGCGCUUUUUACGGCACCGGUGACAAGAUCCAGCUCUUCCCACGGCCCUUGGAAGCCCAGCCAGACCUUUGGGCCAGUGCUUUGACUGCAGCCCAGCAUCACUGUGCCACAGAACCCCGGGGAUGUUGCUGGUGUGAGUGGUCCUUCAGGAACCCGUCAGAGGAGAGUUUCAAACACUUCCAGUCAGAGACCACAGGCAGGUGACCCUGGAGAAGGUGCUGGUGUUCUCUUAUUCUCGGUUUCGCAGUCUGAAAUACUUCCCUCAGUCCCUGCUGCUGCCUUCCUCUGCAAGGUCAAGUGGGAGCUGAAGUCCCAUGAAAAGUGGUACAGGAAUUGCUGAGAGUCUAAUUCCCCUUUUUUGGAGGAGAUCAGUCCAUGUGCUCCCAACAAUCCUCUGGAGCUCCCUUCCCUCCUGGCUGAGAGUGACCCAGAGCUGGGUGAAGCCACCUCAGGGCUGGGGGAUUCACAAGGGCUGCAGAUGUCCUGCCUGUUGAGCAGCUGGGGGAGAAGGAAGUUCUUCCUUCUGAAAUCCCAAUGGAUACAGUACCCAGGGCACUGUGAGAAAAUCCUGGGUUGAUAUUUCUCUUUGGAUUCCACUUGGUAGUGUCUCUGUCUCAUACAUAUAUAUGUGUGUGUAUAUAUAUCUCUGUCACGUCUGUUGGUCCUUCCCCUACAAAAUGUGCUUUUCCAAGACCAGUGUCCUGAGUCCUUUUGGGGUGCUGGAGCAGGAGUGGAUCAGAGAUGUGAAAGUUGGCUUCCUCCCCACUGGAACGGGGAGCAAAAGGCUAAUUCCAUUUUACAGUCAUCUUUGUACCAAUAUAGUUUGUGUGUUGUGUUUGACCUCCUGUAACAAGGUUAAACCACAGGGAUCCCCUUGAGAAGUUGCUAUUCAUCUUUUAUAUGUGAAGAUUUUCAAGUAUAGAAAGGGGAUAAACCUAAUACGGUGUUUAAUGGGAAAAAAUUAUGACACCAAUAACACAUCUGUGUCUGUAAUUUCACAGGUUUUCUCUCUGUAUAUUUAUAUAUGUAUAUAUGUAUAAUUUAAUAUCAGCCUCAGGGUUGUGGUCUCACAUGUCAUCAGCUUGCAGGAAACUGGAUCCUUGGACUAAGUAUCAGAUGAGUUGCUAAUGUUUGGAAAAAAAGCAAAAAAACAUGCUUUGGGUCUCUGUUUUAUGGCUGUUAUUGAAGUAAGAAUUUGUGAUUGUAACCCGACGCUCGCCCCGCCAACAUGUUUUCAUUAUUGUCUGGAUAAUUGAAAGUGCAGGCAAAUUUGGGUGCUGGGGGAUAUUGCACAUGAAGGGCUUGCUGCUCACCCAGCUGAGUGUUGAGGUGGCUCACAUGAAGGGUGAAUAUGUUUCAGCAUUUAAAGCAGGGCUUAAAGGCUGUUUCAUUCCCCCCCAGCAGCAGCCGUGGCUGACGAACGUGGGCUCAGUCUGGCUCCAGUUCUGGUUGCCCAGCCCGGGCUGUCACACUCAGCUCUGCCCUCUCACAACCUGCACUUUGGCUUCUCAGGCUCUUUUUGUCCCAGUUCAGAGUGAGCUGCCCAUGAAAACGUGUUAUCCCCUGGCUGUGUAAGGAACUGUGCCAAGGGAAAGGAGCUUCCCUUCGUGGCAGGACUUCUGGGAAGGGUUGUGAGCAGAACCUUUCUGCUCUUGGAGAUGCACCAGUAGAAAGAAGCUGCUGGAUCUUCACCAGCUUGGAAAAGGAACUUUAAACAUUUCUGUCCAUAACCCCCCCUCCAGUCUUGUAGAAUUUCUGCUUGGUUUUGUUUGUUUAUGCAAAAAGGGAUGAUCCUGGUCCAGUUGGUGACUAAAAAAAACCCCAGAAUCUUGGUUUGUUGGCAGGAAUUGGUAUUUAUUAAAAAUCCUUGUAGCUGGAAGGGCAGAUGAUGGGGAUUUAAUGCAAAAGGUGGUCCCUGUGUCAGUGAGACAUGAUGACAGGGGCACCUCUGUGCCACAGUCCAGGCCUGUUCCUGUUCCGUGGGUAAACACAUGAUUCAAAUCCCCAGGAUUUAUGGAUGGAGCAGUUUCCCCACUACAUGAACCCCAGAGCUGACACAUGUAGAAAAAGGUAAAUGAGGUUUGGGAGUUAAUCCCUAUUAACUGGGCAUAACUGGGAAAUUAAACCAAACACAAACUUUGGGUGGCUUUGGAGAACACCUUGGGGCUUUGCUGCCAGCUCUCUGAAUCCUUUAAUUAGAUGCACGUGUCUGUGCUGACAGAAAAGCAGGGCUUGGUCACUCAUUAAUCUUCACCCAGUGGUCGAGUGCAGCCCCCAGCCCACGUGAGGCAGAGCUGCUCAGAGCUGACCCACUGCUUGGGGGAAAAGCCUUUGAACAGUUGGGAAAAGCCAACUCCAUCUUGAGUUCUGCAAGGAACUAAUUACCUGCCUGGACUCUCCCCACAUACCAGCUCCCACCCCCAUAAAUCCCAGGAGCAGCAGCCAUCCACCAACGUCCUCCACACUUCUCUUCUGAAUCAGGUCCUUUAUGUGCAUCUCAACUUGCUCGUGGAAGAUUCAUGGCCCAAGCUGCCUUAAGUAUUUUUGUUAUGAAUAGGAACCCUUAAACAUUUCCUUCUCAUUUAAUUUAUCAUUUUUUUUUUCAGGCUUUCAGCGCUGGGUACAAGCUAGAAAUAAUGGGAGGUGAAGCUUGUCCCUGAGAAAAAGAGCCUUAAAAUAAUAAAGUGUACACUGGAAAGGGGGAAAUAAAUUACCCAUUACCAGUAGUACAACACCAGUAGACACCAGUAUCCCUGUGUAUUGAGCUGGCUCCAUGUUUUGGGGCAUGAGGAGAGCAGAGAGGUCACCACUCACUGUUGGGAUGUCCUGUACCCGGAGGAACCAUUCCUCUUCUCCAAGGUACUUGGUAAUAAUUAAUUAAGUACUGGUGAUUUACUUACACUGGCACCAGUGGUUUGGGUGUGGGGAUUUUUUUUUUGCCACGUGGGCAGGGAAAGGUCAAGCUGUGGUUUGAAUUAGGGGUUCAAACAAAUCUGCUCAGCUCAAAAGGAAAUGGAGUUGAAAACACUGCCUUCCUCCCAGUCAGGUAUCCCAACAGCAAACUGGGGAGAUUUCACUUGGAAGGGGAUUGUGGGUUUACUAAUACUUUUACUAACACAUUUUACAGCUUGGUGUGCCAUUCAGGUUUAUAACAGAGCACAAAAUAUAAUACUAAUAAUAUUUAGGGCUUAAAAUGGAGCUAUGUUUGGAGUAAGUCCACUGUUUAUGGCAUCCUGAAUGCAAUAAGAAAGGGCAGAAUUUGAGAAAAGCAGAUGAUGUAUAAAAUAGGCUGUUCCAAGUGUACAGAAACCCCUUGAAUUACACAGUGGGCACGACCUGUGUGCUCCUGUGUAUGGAACAAGUUUGAGAUGCAAGUCCUGACCUGUUGCUUCGUGUGCAGUUGGGCCUGUGAGUGAAAUAACAGACUGCUUUUCUCAGCUGCUGAAAGCCCUUUUUUAGGGGCAAUUUGGUUCUCUGCCUUUUCAAAGGGAAAUUUUAUCCAUCUUAUUUUCCAGUGUGUUCUGUUUACCGGUGACAGAUGGACUUACAAAUGUGCAACUCGUCACCGGGGCGGGAACGACCCUUCCCGGAGCAGCUGGGCUUGUGCCAUGAGCAUUUUCGGGGGGAAAAAGGGACUUUUUUUCCCUCAUUUAGCCAAAUUGUGCUUUUCAUAACUCGGUGACAAACCUGCAGUUGUCCCUGGGGGGAGCAGGUCCCACCCCGUGGGUGAGCUCCCCUCCCUGCCUGGUGUCUGCUCGGCUGCUCCAGCACCUCUGCCAAGCCAAGUGUUGGGAAUGAGGUGCCUUCCCAGAACUCCAGUCACCCCCAGGGCUGCUCUGCUUCCCACUGGCUCAGGAGAACCCUUUUCCCUGCCUGUUCCAAACCAGGCAGGGAGGCUGAGGACAGCCUGUGUGGUUUGUCUGAUCUGGUGCUGGAACUCCCAGCGUCACGUCGGGUGGCUGUGAUUUGGAAUGUUAACCACUAAAUCACUUAGAGGAAUUUAUAAUUCACCUCAGCUAUUGUGGGAUUUGGUACAAUAAGAUCAUUAUUGCCUUGAGAUAUCCUUCAGGUCAUUAAUUUAAAUUAGAAAUGCCUUCAAACAGGAUAUUGUGCACGGCUCCUUCCAUAGAUCUUAAAGCUUAAAUAAACCCAAGAAAUACUUCCUGCCAGAUAUUAUCUUGGCAAAUGUGGAUCCCCAUUUCCAAGCAGUGAAAUACCUGGCUGUGGUUGUUGAAGGUGGCAUCUCAUUAAGGGGCAGAUGAAUGAAUUGGGCUAAUGAUUUUUGCUGGUUUGAAAGGACUAAAUUCUCCCCUAAGUGAACCACUUGUCACUGUUCUUUAGGGAUUUUACACUGGAGUGGGGUGGUUUGUUCCAUAACUGGAUUCAGACUAAAAUAACUGUGACCUUGCAAAUGAGGUGGAUGUUCCCUGUGGAAGAUAACUCCUGGAGAAGUGGGGCUGUGGUGGGGAGCAAGAGAGAGCAGUGUGAGGUGGCAAAGUGCUCAGGCUGAAGGAAGGACUGGGUGGAACUGGAUGUGAUGGUUGAAAGGAGAUCAAAAAAUGCCUUAAAUAUCUGAUGGGUGGAAUGGUAAAUGAUGGUCCAAAAAUGACUUGAACUUUCAAGGGUGCAGAGCUGUUCUAGUGCAAAGAGAGGGCUGGGGUGAAGGCAGCCUUGAGAGUCGAGGCUUUGGCUCACUCUGGGGAGGGAAAGAUCUCGCUAGAAAUAAUUUGCCAAACUGAAUUGAUGCAGCACCAGCCACCUUGGAAGGCAGAGUCUGCAGUUCCUGCUCCUUGAGUGGUGGGGGUGGGAAUGUGCCACGAGCAGAGCUCAGGGACUUGGCCUCUGCAGCCUCAUCACCCAGUGCCACAGCAACCUGACCUAAAAAACCUCACCCCAAAACUUAAUAUUAAACUGUGCUGCCAGGAUCAGCAGGAAAGACUCAGCAAUGUUUAAAUGAACAGUUCUGUCAGCCACAACUCUGGGUUUCUGAGUGGUUUCAGUCAACUCUUCCAGCCUUUGAUUGUUAUUUCUUUCAGAGUCUGGAUUUCCCUGUUCUGAACUAGGAUUCCCUCCCAUCCCUGGUUUCUGUUUGAGAGGAGGACUGAGCUGUCAGUGCUCCAGGCACUGGAGAAAUCCAGUGUUUGGGGCUGAGCAUCCAACCUGCUGAUUGCAAACGGGCCUGCAGGGGUGUCUGCAGUGAGUGUUGGGUGAUCACAGAGCACCACGAGCUCAGGCAGCUCCAAAACCCUCCCAGGACCGGGGAUGGAACCCUCAUUCCCGAGAAGGAACUGCUCCAGCAUUCAUGCCCUUGGUUUAAUGAUGGUUUUGGGGGUUCCUGGACAAGUUGCUGCUCAGUGCUGAAAAAACACGUUUAUUGGCUGGUCCAGCUUGUUUCUUAGAAAGUUUGGAGGCUGAUGGCUGGCUGGGGACGUAUCCGACUGCAUUUUGCUCUCUAACCACCCAGAGCUGCCCCAGUCCUCCCUGUUGUCUUCCUAUUUCUUGGCUAACUGGGGAAAGGAAAGCUCCUUGGCAGCUUGCCACGCCGAGCCCCCCCAGCCCUGAUUUAUUAUCACCAAAACCAGCUGCAGAUGUUGGCCAGGCCGGGGCUCUGCUGCCAAUUAGGGCGUCUCAUGCAGAGAUUCCUGCUCGGUGUGCCUGGCACCCAGAGCAGAGCCUGGCUGAGGGGACUGGGCCAUAAAAAGGGAGUUUAAAAACAGGGAAAAUGGGUUUCACCUGGGCAGGUAGUGGCUGGUGGGAGGAGGAGGCUGGGCCAGAUUUUGGGGGUUUUGGCCAUUUCUCAGGACUUUCCCUGUGCUAAUGAACCCUAAAACUUCACACUCACCCAGCCCCUGUGUCCUUUGGGGGCUCAAAAUUCAUCUUGGGUUCACUGAAAGUCUGUCUGAACUUUCCCAUGCUGAGAAGGAACUUGCAGUGAAGUUGGGCUGAGCUUUCAGCAUGACCCCAAACCUCCUGCCAGCCCCUCUGCCUGAGGGAGCACCUGGCAGUGUGUGUCUGGGCUCUAGAGCCAGUUUGGGAAUGGGGAGCAGAAGUGAUUUCCAGGGAACUCUUGCAUGGAAACAGGAUCAUUUUCAGCUGUGGAAAGUGGAGAAAGAGAUACAACACUGAAAAUGUCUGUAAAGUAGAGACCAGCUCAAGUUAGAUAUUUCCUUCUGCUGUUAAUCCAAUGUUUAAAUCAAACUGGUCACAAAUCUAGAUAAUCUGACUCAAAAUGAGGCUGAUAUAAAACAUGAUCCCUUUAAUCCCUUUAUUCUACUUCUAUUACAUUUUGGGUCUAUGAUCUUUAUUGCAAUUUCAACCAUAAUUUCACAAGACUGCCUUUCCAGUGCUCUACAUGUUAGAGCCACACGACCUAUUAUACUAAAAAGGCUGGUCUAUGUAUUAUAAGCAAGAUGAAUAUCACCAACUUAUAUUUCAAUGCUGUGUGCAGCAUUGCAAUUGCAAUUUGACAAAGUUAAACACAGCUGAAAACUGUGUGAAUUAAAUUGGGAAAAAAUUAUCACAGUGUAGAGCGAAAUGAAUGUGUGAAAAAAUUGUGGAACAGUAAAACUUGAGACAGUUUUAAUCAUUGGUCUCAUUAGCACCUGUGAUGGGAGGAUGCUUCUUUGGAUAGAAGCAGUUGUGUCCCUUUCAGUCCCAGUAAGAAGCCUAAAUAAUUUAUUUUUCCUUAAUGCAGUGUUUUUAAUGGUGUCUGAAAUUCAGCAGAACAAAAUCUGAAAGGUUUCUGCUACUAAACAGUUCUCACACCCCUUCUUAAUAUCAGGUUAAUAUUUAUGCUGUGUCCUGAGACUUUCUAAAAACAAAUAAAUAGAAAGCCCGGGGAAAACUCAAACAAGCCUUUUCCUCAAUAUUUACCCCUUCUACUGCAUGCCCUUGUCCAUCUCUUUAUGCUUGCUAUAAUUUUUAAAGUUAGUAGGAAAUAAAUAAAAUCUUAAGAGUGUUAGUUUAUAACUCCUGUCUUUUCGGCCCUGGGUAUUUGAUUUAAAAGCAGCUCGUGGUGACCUCCCCGGGUAUCGAGUGCUGAGUGCUCCGAAUGAAAUGCAAGAGCUGAUCUCACCACUUGGCCAAGCUGGGAGGAGUUCCUUGGGCACACGGGCGAGAUCAGAGCCCAUUAGCAACCAAUAUUAGAUUAAAUGAGACUAAACAUUACCCAGGGUGAUUUUCCUGCUCCGAGAGGUUUGUGGUGGCUCUAAUGCAAAGCACCUCCUCUCUGCGGGGUUUGGUCUCUCCCGGGGAGCUCCCGGGGCUGGCACAGGAUGCUCGGGGGGGAUCCUGCACAUUCGGGGCUUAUCUGCAGAGCAAUCUGAUGCCACGGCCCCAGAGGGACGGAGGGGGGAAACCUGAUGACUGGGCUUUACUCGAACUUAAUAGCGACAUAAAAGCCCCGCUUUUCCCUUUCAAGGUCCGCAGUGCCCCUCGCGGGGAAGGCGGUGUCGCCUUUCCCUAAUGCACCAGAGGGGCAAAGCCCUCCGAGCUGCACAGCUCCCGGACGGGCUGGGAAAGGGGGUGUUUGGGCAGGGCCACAAACACCCCCCAGUGAAACCAGGAAAACCACCUGGGCACUGCUGAAGAUCCCCUGGCAAAGUGGGCACCAGCUCUGGGCACCCCCGGGUGACACUCGUGGGAUGAGGCUCUGGGAGAAGGAUCCUUGGCUUGGCUUGGCUUGUUUGUGGGACUGGGAACUGGUUUCUCCCAGCAGGAAUUGCUGUUUGCCAGUGGGACACGUUCCCUGGGCUUCAAACACUGUUUUGUGGCAGAGUUGGUGAGGGUUGGGUUCCUCUCUCAAUUCCCACUUUCUCUCAAGUGAAAUGAUGUGAACACAUCCUGGUUUUUCCCUGAGGGAAUGAAGUGAUGCUUGGCCAGGUGAGUUCCACCCAGCUCUCAGGAGUCCACAGGGAAACAACAGAACAGAUUGACACAACCUCCUGUUCUCUUCUGCCUGUGCUCUUGGGAGAAAAGAACCCAACCAACCCACUCCUUCAGUCUCAGGAUUUCUGCAGUGUCAGCCUUCCAGGCCACCAGUGGGAUUCACAAUCCCUGGGGGAAGCUGAGCAAAACAAAUCCCACUUUCUGCUCAGGUUUUUGUUUUGGUUUUUUUUUUUGCAAACCAAAUGUGAUGUUCUGGUGUGAGACAGAAAUGCUGCCAAACCCACUUUACAUCCAAAUGUUUCAUAGAGCUGAGUCAGACUUUCCUGAAUUUUUGUUUCAGAAGGAAAAUGUAAGCAAAAAGCUGUGGCAGAAUGAAAUAAAUCCAGGUCAUACCGUUAUCAAGUGUCACUAUGGAUUUUCAGGGAUUUCUUCUAAAGUUUUCCAGUAGAACGAAAUAUUCUGUUAGAAAUUUGAAACUGGAGUAAUGUUUUGAUGUAAUAAAAUAUUUCCAUCAA
Molecule: long non-coding RNA, 14853 nt
Organism: Pseudopipra pipra
Lineage: Eukaryota; Metazoa; Chordata; Aves; Passeriformes; Pipridae
Exons: 5
Source: RefSeq, a predicted model, not a curated record